Molecule: small RNA, 276 nt
Filed under: Arabidopsis thaliana (thale cress)
Lineage: Eukaryota; Viridiplantae; Streptophyta; Magnoliopsida; Brassicales; Brassicaceae
Description: ATSL286600
Source: RNAcentral
AAAAAAACGAUGACCUUCAAAAAACCAUGAAAUAAUCUUGAGACGAGGUAUCAGUGCUUUAUUCGGAAAAGGUAAAAAUCUCAUAUCACUGAACUCUUUCAAUUUCUUAAGAUUUGUGUUAGUGGGUUGCGGAUAACGGUAGCCGGUAGGCACAGAUCCGAUAUCCUAAAAUUUGGAAUACAUAAAUUAGGAUCCAUUAGAUCCGUCAACAUCUGCAAGUAAUUAUUUAUAUUACAUGCGGAUCCGACAUCCGCAACACUACGAUAAUAAUAUUUA